Molecule: ribosomal RNA, 265 nt
Filed under: uncultured prokaryote
Description: partial 16S ribosomal RNA
Rfam family: Bacterial small subunit ribosomal RNA
Source: RNAcentral
UACGUAGGGGCAAGCGUUGUCCGGAAUAAUUGGGUGUAAAGGGAGCGCAGACGGAACUGCAAGUCUGAUGUGAAAGCCCGGGGCUCAACCGCGGGACUGCAUCGGAUACUGUAGAUCUGGAGUGCCGGAGGGGCAAGCGGAAUUCCUGGUGUAGCGGUGAAAUGCGUAGAUAUCAGGAGGAACACCGGCGGCGAAGGCGGCUUGCUGGACGGCAACUGACGUUGAGGCUCGAAAGCGUGGGGAGCAAACAGGAUUAGAUACCCCU